RNAcentral lists this unclassified non-coding RNA (607 nucleotides) under Hevea brasiliensis (rubber tree). The record is from RNAcentral. Lineage: Eukaryota; Viridiplantae; Streptophyta; Magnoliopsida; Malpighiales; Euphorbiaceae.
CUAGCUAGUCUCGUCAUGCAUGGCGAUCGAUCGAUCGACCUAGCUAGCUAGCUCUCAUUUUAUUCAGCAUAAACACAGAUAACACAAGAUACAAAGCGUGAGACGACGACAGGUGCAUGUACGGCCUGCGAUGUCACACCCUCCGGCCGGUAGCGAUCGAUCGAUCAGAUUAGUUCACGCUGGAGCAGUCGAUGGAGGGGCUGAUGGUGUAGGGGAUGCUGACGCCGCACUUGGAGGGGAUGCUGGCGGCAUUGCCGGCGUUGAGGCCGCUGAUGCUGCCGGCCACGUUCUUGAGGCAGUUGCAGGCGGUGCGGCGGUCGGCGGUGGUGGUGGCGGCGGAGUUGAGGCUCCUGACGCCGCUGCAGCAGGCCGCCGACGGGCCGGAGCCGCCGCGGGCGUAGCUGAGGCAGGGCGACACGGCGGAGUUGACCUGGCCGCAGCUGAUGGCGGCCAUGGUGGUGUGUGGGCCCGCCAGGAGCAGAGCUGCCACGAGGGCGACCAACACCAGCUGUGCACGGGCCAUCUCGAUCUUGGUCGUGUGUGCUGACGAUCGAUCGACUUUGCUGCUGCUGCUGGUGUGUGGUGCUCGUUUGCUGCUGCAGGUGAG